GAUGAACGCGGCGGCGUGCUUAACACAUGCAAGUCGAACGGGAUCCCGGGGGUUCGCUUCCGGGUGAGAGUGGCGAACGGGUGAGUAAUGCGUGACCGACCUGCCCCAUACACCGGAAUAGCUCCUGGAAACGGGUGGUAAUGCCGGAUGCUCCGGUUGGAUGCAUGUCCUUCCGGGAAAGAUUCUAUCGGUAUGGGAUGGGGUCGCGUCCUAUCAGCUUGAUGGCGGGGUAACGGCCCACCAUGGCUUCGACGGGUAGCCGGCCUGAGAGGGCGACCGGCCACAUUGGGACUGAGAUACGGCCCAGACUCCUACGGGAGGCAGCAGUGGGGAAUAUUGCACAAUGGGCGCAAGCCUGAUGCAGCGACGCCGCGUGCGGGAUGGAGGCCUUCGGGUUGUAAACCGCUUUUGAUCGGGAGCAAGCCCUUCGGG
RNAcentral lists this ribosomal RNA (432 nucleotides) under Bifidobacterium dentium. RNAcentral's name for it is "bacterial SSU rRNA". It matches the Rfam family "Bacterial small subunit ribosomal RNA", at positions 28 to 459 of the family's 1533-position model. The record is from RNAcentral. Lineage: Bacteria; Bacillati; Actinomycetota; Actinomycetes; Bifidobacteriales; Bifidobacteriaceae.